RNAcentral lists this ribosomal RNA (494 nucleotides) under uncultured soil bacterium. RNAcentral describes it as "bacterial SSU rRNA". It matches the Rfam family "Bacterial small subunit ribosomal RNA", at positions 26 to 517 of the family's 1533-position model. The record is from RNAcentral.
AGACUGAACGCUGGCGGCAUGCCUUACACAUGCAAGUCGAACGCGAAAGCGGGGGCAACCCCGCCGGUAGAGUGGCGGACGGGUGAGUAAUACAUCGGAACGUGCCCAGGAGUGGGGGAUAGCCCGGCGAAAGCCGGAUUAAUACCGCAUACGUCCUAUGGGAGAAAGCGGGGGACCUUUCGGGGCCUCGCGCUCAUGGAGCGGCCGAUGUCGGAUUAGCUAGUUGGUGGGGUAAGAGCUCACCAAGGCGACGAUCCGUAGCUGGUCUGAGAGGAUGAUCAGCCACACUGGGACUGAGACACGGCCCAGACUCCUACGGGAGGCAGCAGUGGGGAAUUUGGACAAUGGGGGCAACCCUGAUCCAGCCAUGCCGCGUGAGUGAAGAAGGCCUUCGGGUGUAAAGCUCUUUCGGCCGGAACGAAAUCGCAGCGUUGAAUAGGCGCUGUGGAUGACGGUACCGGAAUAAGAAGCACGCUAACUACGUGCAGCAGCCG